UACGGGGGGAGCAAGCGUUGUUCGGAUUUACUGGGCGUAAAGGGCGCGUAGGCGGCCACCGCAAGUCGGUUGUGAAAUCUCCGGGCUUAACCCGGAAAGGUCAAUCGAUACUGCGGGGCUAGAGUGCAGAAGGGGCAACUGGAAUUCUCGGUGUAGCGGUGAAAUGCGUAGAUAUCAGGAGGAACACCGGUGGCGAAGGCGGCUUGCUGGGCCAGUUCUGACGCUGAGGAGCGAAAGCGUGGGGAGCGAACAGG
Molecule: ribosomal RNA, 254 nt
Filed under: uncultured bacterium
Lineage: Bacteria
Description: partial 16S ribosomal RNA
Rfam family: Bacterial small subunit ribosomal RNA
Source: RNAcentral